UUCCAAAUCAUCUUGAUAGAACAGCACUGCAGUUUUCCUCUGGCUUCCUUGAGUAGAUGCACAUUAGACUAGCAAUGGCAAAAUGAAUGCAAGUGUUCCUCAAGCUCUAUAAGGUCUUCACUUCACAAAUGGAAUCCCGGAUGGAGUUCGCUGAGCAUAUUCCUCAUAUUGAGACCCAAAAAACUGUCUCAAGAAAAACUCUUCGUAUGGUAUCCGGUCUGCAAAGGAAGCUCCAGACAACAACUGCAAAUGCAAUUGUCGAUAUGGGAUUACAGAGCAUUAUCUGAGUGCUAACUGACCAGAUGAAGAAACCAGUAUAUCCCGGAUGACGAACAAAACUAUAGACUCCAUGAGUAAUUAGCUUGUGAUGCUCCUCAUGAUAAAUCUUGAUAACAUGUGUGAAGGCCCGCCCAGCUGUUAUAAUUGCUAUUUUCCGAAUGAGUUCCCCAAUUAAGACAAGUGCAAGGCCUAAGUUAGUCACCCACCAAUAUUCCUUCAAUGCAGGAAAUAAAGAAAUUUCAAUGAAGUAUUCAAGCAAUGAUAAUAUCAUCGCCAGAAGAUAGUUCUUGCUGAUCAGAAGUGACUUGAGUGUAACAUUUGAUUUCCCAUGAAAGGCAACUGCUAGAAUGUAUUCAGAACCAUGAAAGAAGAUAAUGGCCAAAAACAUCUGAGAUAACUGUCUGCAGGUUGGGUAACCGAAUAUCUCAUUUUUGUCAAACUUUGUGAGUCAAUUUCAGUCUCUGAUGCACUGAAACAGAUCUACAAUGCUAUGCUAUCUUAGUGAAUGGCUACAAUAAAAAU
RNAcentral lists this unclassified non-coding RNA (801 nucleotides) under Hevea brasiliensis (rubber tree). Lineage: Eukaryota; Viridiplantae; Streptophyta; Magnoliopsida; Malpighiales; Euphorbiaceae. The record is from RNAcentral.